Molecule: ribosomal RNA, 406 nt
Filed under: uncultured bacterium
Lineage: Bacteria
Description: partial 16S ribosomal RNA
Rfam family: Bacterial small subunit ribosomal RNA
Source: RNAcentral
GAUGAACGCUAGCUACAGGCUUAACACAUGCAAGUCGUGGGACCUGCGCACGGGUGAGUCACACGUAUCCAACUCGCCCUUUACUCGGGGAUAGCCUUUCGAACGAAAGAUUAAUACCCGACCUAAAGGAUGGGGAUGCGUUCCAUUAGGUUGUUGGUGAGGUAACGGCUCACCAUGCCUUCGAUGGACAGGGGUACUGAGAGGAAGGUCGCCCACAUUGGAACUGAGACACGGUCCAAACUCCUAGGAGCGGCAGAAGUGAGGAAUAUUGGUCAAUGUGCGCUAGCCUGAAACAGCCAGGUAGCGUGAAGGAUGAAGGGUUAUGGGUCGUAAAUUUCUUUUAUAUAAGAAGAUGUAUUAUAUGAAAAAGGAUCGGCUAACUCCGUGCCAGCAGCCGCGGUAAUAC